GAUGAACGCUGGCGGCGUGCCUAACACAUGCAAGUCGAACGAACAGACGCUGAUCUUGCGCGGCGGACGUGAGCCGCGGAGGUGAGAGAAACGUGUGUAAACUCCCCCUAACAUUCGGAUAAAACUACGAGACAGGGGAGCUAAUAGGGUAGGAGAUAUUGCAGCACAUGGGGGGUUGGUAAGAUACGGCGGUUGUGGAACGAAUAGAGGCAUAUGCGCCGUAUGAGCUGGUUGGUAAGGUAACGGCUUAUGAAGGCUACGAUGCGUAGCCGAGAUGAGGGGGUGAUCGGCCACACUGGAACGGAGACACGCUCCAGACUCCUACGGGAGGCAGCAGUAGGGAAUCGGCCGCAAUGGGCGAAAACCUGACGGAGCAGGGCCGAGUGAGUGAUGAAGGUCUUCGGGUCGGAAAGCUCUGUUAUUAGGGAAGAACCAAUGUGUAAGUAACUAUGCACGUCUUGACGGUAACUAAUCAGAAAGCACCGGCUAACUACGUG
RNAcentral lists this ribosomal RNA (497 nucleotides) under uncultured bacterium. Its description in RNAcentral is "partial 16S ribosomal RNA". It matches the Rfam family "Bacterial small subunit ribosomal RNA", at positions 28 to 507 of the family's 1533-position model. The record is from RNAcentral.